AUGCUUGAAUGUGUUGUGCAAAAGCUCGACCACCUUUGCGCAACGUCCAACAUAUUUCUGGAGCUCAUGAAGCAGAGCAGCUUAGCAUCCACCAAGGAGGGAAUAGGUGGAGAGACUACUUCUCGUGUUCCGAUUGAUGUCAAGGUGUUUGGCCGCGAUGAAGUUCUGGAGAUGAUACUGAAAAUUGUUCUGGGUUCAUCUGGCUCUGAACCAGAAUCCAGUAGCGUAAGAGCAAAGCUUGGGGCAAGGUGCCGCAUUGGUGGUGUUGAUGUUAUACCAAUUGUUGGUAUGAGCGGAGUUGGGAAGACAACCCUUGCUCAAGUCAUUUACAAUCAUGGAAGUGUGAAGGGCCACUUUAGACAGAGAGCAUGGGUGUAUGUUUCAAGACACUUUAGUGUGAAGAGAACCCUGCAAGAGAUGUUGCGCUCUUUGAAAGGAAAUGAUUCAUCUUUUGACUACGCUGAUAGUCUGGAAACAGUUGUUAACAAUGUUCAAAAUGUCAUCCAGCAGGAAGGAAGAUUCCUUCUUGUGCUAGAUAGUGUUUGGGAUGAGAUGUGUGAGCAGUGGAAUAGUUUGCUUACUGCCAUAACUCGUGAAGUGCCAGGAAUUGUAGUUCUUGUCACAACACAAAGCAAAAAGGUUGCAGACAAAGUAGCAACAAUGUGUCAAGUUCCAUUAGCACCUUUGCCAUGGGAGAGUUUUUGGUCAGCUUUCCAGUAUUAUGCAUUUGGCACCAGCAAUGUUGUGGUGGAGAACAAUCAGAUUCUUCUGUUAAUUGGUGAGCAAAUAGCAAAAAAACUAGAUGGCUUGCCGUUAGCAGCAAAAGUAAUGGGAAAUCUGUUAAGAUCCAGAUUUACCGUACACCAGUGGAGAAGCAUCCUUGAGAGCGAUUGGUGGGACCUGAGUGAAGUUCUUUGUGAAAUCCUUCCAUACAUGGGGAUUAGUUAUCAGGAUCUACAGCCUAGACAAAGGCAGUGCUUCGCUUUCUGUUCGAUUUUUCCAGGAAAUUACUUGUUUGAUAAAGAUAGAUUGGUCAAUAUGUGGAUUUCUCACGAUUUCAUUGAACAAAGCGCAUCUGGUGGCACUAGAUUAGAGGAUAUUGGAGGUAAAUUGUUUGAUGAACUUGUGCAAAGAUCAUUCCAGGCUACAUUUGACAAAAAGAGGUACAUUAUGCACGAUCUAGUACGGGCUCUGGCAAUUGGUGUUUCUUCAUAUGAAUGCUUUCUCCACAGAGAGACCUCACAGAGAGCAUCACCAACUGUUCGCCACUUGGCUCUGCACGUUGGUAAUCAACUUCACCUUCAUGAACUCAACAAGUAUAAAAAUCUGCGGACAAUCUUACUGUUUGGUCAUUGUGACAGUAAUGCAAUUUGUGAUAUUCUGGACAAUAUGUUGGCUAACUCAAGUAGCAUACGAGUGUUGGACUUGUCUCAUUUGGAGGUGCUGACAAAUAUGCUGCCCAACAUUUCUUCCUUGAGAAAAUUGAGAUUCUUUGAUCUUUCUUUCACAAAAAUCAGCAAUUUGCGCAACUUCCCUUGCAAUCUUCAAGUUCUAUACCUCCGCGGAUAUGCCCGGAAUACUAUUCCUCAAAGCAUCAAUAGUCUUGCCAACUUACGUCACCUGUAUGUUGAUGCUACAGCUCUCUCUUUAAUUCCUAGUAUUGGACAACUAAGUAAACUUCAAGAAUUGGAGAAUUUCAGCGCUGGAAAGAGAAAUGGAUUCAUGAUAAGUGAGAUAAAGAACAUGCAAGAGUUAUCUGGAAAACUUUGCAUUAGCAAUAUCCACAUCAUUAGGAGCACACAUGAGGCAAUGGAUGCCAAUAUGAUUGAGAAGAAGCACCUUGAGGCCUUGGAGUUGAAGGGGAGAAAUGUAUCCAAAGAUGUACUUGAAGGAUUGCAGCCGCACCCAAAUCUGAAAGAGCUCAUGAUUGAAGGUUACGGGGCCUCAACUUCACCAAGCUGGAUGUUGCAAGGUCACAUCUUUACAAAAAUUUAG
RNAcentral lists this ribosomal RNA (1995 nucleotides) under Triticum aestivum (bread wheat). RNAcentral describes it as "partial small subunit ribosomal RNA". Lineage: Eukaryota; Viridiplantae; Streptophyta; Magnoliopsida; Poales; Poaceae. The record is from RNAcentral.